CCUACGGGUGACAGCAGUGGGGAAUAUUGCACAAUGGGGGAAACCCUGAUGCAGCGACGCCGCGUGAGUGAAGAAGUAUUUCGGUACGUAAAGCUCUAUCAGCAGGGAAGAAAAUGACGGUACCUGACUAAGAAGCCCCGGCUAACUACGUGCCAGCAGCCGCGGUAAUACGUAGGGGGCAAGCGUUAUCCGGAUUUACUGGGUGUAAAGGGAGCGUAGACGGCAGCGCAAGUCUGGAGUGAAAUCCCAUGGCUUAACCAUGGAACUGCUUUGGAAACUGUGCAGCUAGAGUGCAGGAGAGGUAAGCGGAAUUCCGAGUGUAGCGGUGAAAUGCGUAGAUAGUAGGAGGAACACCAGUGGCGAAGGCGGCUUACUGGACUGUAACUGACGUUGAGGCUCGAAAGCGUGGGGAGCAAACAGGAUUAGAUACCCUGUAGUC
RNAcentral lists this ribosomal RNA (439 nucleotides) under uncultured bacterium. RNAcentral's name for it is "partial 16S ribosomal RNA". It matches the Rfam family "Bacterial small subunit ribosomal RNA", at positions 338 to 795 of the family's 1533-position model. The record is from RNAcentral.